This 490-nucleotide ribosomal RNA is filed under the name uncultured bacterium. RNAcentral describes it as "partial 16S ribosomal RNA". It matches the Rfam family "Bacterial small subunit ribosomal RNA", at positions 30 to 507 of the family's 1533-position model. The record is from RNAcentral.
AUUGAACGCUGGCGGCAGGCCUAACACAUGCAAGUCGAACGGUAACAGGAAGAAGCUUGCUUCUUUGCUGACGAGUGGCGGACGGGUGAGUAAUGUCUGGGAAACCGCCUGAUGGAGGGGGAUAACUACUGGAAACGGUAGCUAAUACCGCAUAACGUCGCAAGACCAAAGAGGGGGACCUUCGGGCCUCUUGCCAUCGGAUGUGCCCAGAUGGGAUUAGCUAGUAGGUGGGGUAACGGCUCACCUAGGCGACGAUCCCUAGCUGGUCUGAGAGGAUGACCAGCCACACUGGAACUGAGACACGGUCCAGACUCCUACGGGAGGCAGCAGUGGGGAAUAUUGCACAAUGGGGGCAAGCCUGAUGCAGCCAUGCCGCGUGUAUGAAGAAGGCCUUCGGGUUGUAAAGUACUUUCAGCGGGGAGGAAGGGAGUAAAGUUAAUACCUUUGCUCAUUGACGUUACCCGCAGAAGAAGCACCGGCUAACUCCGUG